Molecule: long non-coding RNA, 550 nt
Organism: Camelus dromedarius (Arabian camel)
Lineage: Eukaryota; Metazoa; Chordata; Mammalia; Artiodactyla; Camelidae
Exons: 3
Source: RefSeq, a predicted model, not a curated record
UAAUUAAUUUCUCUUAUAGAUGCCAACCCAGUUAUUUAUCAUAGUGGAUUCAAAUGUUGCCUAAUUAGACCCUUCUGGUUUUCCCCCUAGGUCAUUCUUAGACUGAUGACUGAAGACCUUUUGUUUUAGAAAACAUUGGCUUAGUGUGCAGUGCCUGACACAGAGCCCACCACACACAUGUGCGCUGGAACUUCUCUUCUGGAAACCCGUACUUCCACAGAUGCUCUCUAAUCCACAUCUGGUUGUCUAAGUCGGCAUUCUCCAGGGGCUCCCAGACUGCAGACCAAGAGAGGCUGGAGCGGGUUCACAGGCCGCUGCAGGGUCCGCGGCUGAGACUGAGGUCUGUCUGCCUCUUACCCUCCGCACAGAAGCAGUUUAGUAUAUUGGAAAGCACAGCCGUGAAGACGUUUGACUGUCCAGAAAGUUAAUUUUCCUCUCUGAGCCUCUGAUUUCUCACCUACAUAAUGGAGUGAAUAGUUGCUUAUCACACAAUGUGUGGCAAGGACUGGCUGAAUGGAUACAACUGAAAAAAAAAAAUCCUAGAAAGCAC